AACUGCGAGUGAAGCGGGAAAAGCUCAAAUUUAAAAUCUGGCGGUCUUUGGCCGUCCGAGUUGUAAUUUAGAGAAGCGUCUUCCGCGCCGGUCCGUGCACAAGUCUCCUGGAAUGGAGCGUCAUAGAGGGUGAGAAUCCCGUCUUUGGCACGGAUGCCUGGUGCUUCUGUGAUGCGCUCUCGAAGAGUCGAGUUGUUUGGGAAUGCAGCUCAAAAUGGGUGGUGAACUCCAUCUAAAGCUAAAUAUUGGCGAGAGACCGAUAGCGAACAAGUACCGUGAGGGAAAGAUGAAAAGCACUUUGGAAAGAGAGUGAAACAGUACGUGAAAUUGUUGAAAGGGAAACGCUUGAAGUCAGUCGCGUCGACCGAGACUCAGCCUUGCCUUGGCUUGGUGUACUUCUCGGCACGACGGGUCAGCAUCAAUUUUGCCCCUCGGAUAAUGGCAAGGGAAAGGUGGCACCUUCACGGGUGUGUUAUAGUCUCCUGUCGCAUGCAAGGGGUGGGAUUGAGGAACUCAGCGCGCACCUUGGUGUCGGGGCUUCG
This 542-nucleotide ribosomal RNA is filed under the name Lactarius cremicolor. Its description in RNAcentral is "LSU rRNA". It matches the Rfam family "Eukaryotic large subunit ribosomal RNA", at positions 85 to 636 of the family's 3401-position model. Lineage: Eukaryota; Fungi; Basidiomycota; Agaricomycetes; Russulales; Russulaceae. The record is from RNAcentral.